UGAGGAAUUUUGCGCAAUGGGAGCAAUCCUGACGCAGCAACGCCGCGUGGGUGAUGAAGGCCUUCGGGUCGUAAAGCCCUGUCAGGUGGGAAGAAUGUCCCGGGACUGCACAGGUUCCGGGAGUGACGGUACCACCAGAGGAAGCACCGGCUAACUCCGUGCCAGCAGCCGCGGUAAUACGGAGGGUGCAAGCGUUAUUCGGAAUUACUGGGCGUAAAGCGCGUGUAGGCGGUCUGGGAAGUCGGAGGUGAAAGCCCCGGGCUUAACCCGGGAAGUGCAUUGGAAACUGUGGGACUUGAGUACGGGAGAGGAUGGGGGAAUUCCCGGUGUAGAGGUGAAAUUCGUAGAGAUCGGGAGGAAUAUCAGUGGCGAAGGCGCCCAUCUGGACGGUAACUGACGCUGAGACGCGAAAGCGUGGGGAGCAAACA
This 428-nucleotide ribosomal RNA is filed under the name uncultured prokaryote. Its description in RNAcentral is "bacterial SSU rRNA". It matches the Rfam family "Bacterial small subunit ribosomal RNA", at positions 355 to 774 of the family's 1533-position model. The record is from RNAcentral.